This 273-nucleotide unclassified non-coding RNA is filed under the name Hevea brasiliensis (rubber tree). Lineage: Eukaryota; Viridiplantae; Streptophyta; Magnoliopsida; Malpighiales; Euphorbiaceae. The record is from RNAcentral.
CAAAUUUAAGUCGAUUAUCUAGCUUUGAAGCCCUCCAGUUUGCGGCAACAAGGAGUUUGCCGAAAGACUACGUAAGAUUGGAUCAAGACAUUCUAUCGCCCUUUGCAGGGAAGAAACAGUUAUAUACGUAUGAAACUAUGGACUACUGGGAACAGAUCAAAACACCUGCAAUGUCGUUGAAAUGCUCUGGCUUAUAUCUCGCCCAAUUCCGGGUCACCUCCUCCAACCUAUUGGCAAAUGGAGAUGGUACAAAAAAUGCUAUCAUUACUGGUG